RNAcentral lists this ribosomal RNA (476 nucleotides) under uncultured organism. RNAcentral's name for it is "partial 16S ribosomal RNA". It matches the Rfam family "Bacterial small subunit ribosomal RNA", at positions 334 to 801 of the family's 1533-position model. The record is from RNAcentral.
CACUCCUGCGGGAGGCAGCAGUGGGGAAUAUUGCACAAUGGGCGCAAGCCUGAUGCAGCCAUGCCGCGUGUAUGAAGAAGGCCUUCGGGUUGUAAAGUACUUUCAGCGGGGAGGAAGGCAAUACGGUUAAUAACCGUGUUGAUUGACGUUACCCGCAGAAGAAGCACCGGCUAACUCCGUGCCAGCAGCCGCGGUAAUACGGAGGGUGCAAGCGUUAAUCGGAAUUACUGGGCGUAAAGCGCACGCAGGCGGUCUGUCAAGUCGGAUGUGAAAUCCCCGGGCUCAACCUGGGAACUGCAUUCGAAACUGGCAGGCUUGAGUCUUGUAGAGGGGGGUAGAAUUCCAGGUGUAGCGGUGAAAUGCGUAGAGAUCUGGAGGAAUACCGGUGGCGAAGGCGGCCCCCUGGACAAAGACUGACGCUCAGGUGCGAAAGCGUGGGGAGCAAACAGGAUUAGAUACCCCUGUAGUCCCAUGAU